This 402-nucleotide ribosomal RNA is filed under the name uncultured bacterium. RNAcentral describes it as "partial 16S ribosomal RNA". It matches the Rfam family "Bacterial small subunit ribosomal RNA", at positions 28 to 526 of the family's 1533-position model. The record is from RNAcentral.
GACGAACGCUGGCGGCGUGCUUAACACAUGCAAGUCGAACGAGUGGGAACGGGUGAGUAAUACGUGGGUAACCUCCCAUCAGAGGGGUUAACACUUGGAAACAGGUGCUAAACCGAUACUGAGGGAUGGACCCGCGGUGCAUUAGCUAGUUGGUGAGGUAACGGCCCACCAAGGCCACCAUGCAUAGCCGACCUGCGGGAGUGAUCGACGACAGUGGGACUGAGAGACGACCCAGGCGCGUACGGGAGACAGCGGUAGGGAAGCUACGGCAAUGGACGAAGGUCUGGCCGAGCAACGCCGGGUGAGUUAAGAAGGUUUUCGGAUCGUACAACUCUGUUGUUAGAACAGCGGUAUCUAACCAGAAAGCCACGGCUAACUACGAGCCAGCAGACGCGGUAAUUC